Molecule: long non-coding RNA, 265 nt
Organism: Papaver somniferum (opium poppy)
Lineage: Eukaryota; Viridiplantae; Streptophyta; Magnoliopsida; Ranunculales; Papaveraceae
Exons: 3
Source: RefSeq, a predicted model, not a curated record
CUUUAUUUCUGAUAGGCAAAAAGGGUUGUUGGAAUCUGUUCCAAAGGUUUUACCUGGUGCAAGAGUUAGAUAUUGCUUCAGGCACUUGUACAAGAACUUCAAGAAGUACCACAAGGCACCAACCUUGCACAACUUAUUGUGGAAUGCAUGCAAAGCUUACAAAGUGAGGCAUUUUCAGGAGCACUUUGACAACAUAUGCAAAGAAAGUCCGGCUGCUGGUGAAUAUCUUAGGAAAGAAGAUCCAAGUACUUGGUCUAGGGCUUAU